UUCCUUCUCAUUUUCAAAAUCCAGUGACACUUGAGAAACAGAAACAGAAGAAGAAUGGGAGACAGCACAAUGACAUGUGUAGAGAUUCUUUUGGCAAUCAUCUUGCCUCCCCUUGUUUUCCGCAAGUUUAGUUGCAAGGUGGAAUUCUGGAUCUAUGUCUCGCUGACUCUCCUUGACUGGCUACCUGGUAUUAUCUAUGCUUUUUGGGCCCUCAACUCCUCAUCAAGUGAUCUACCUUUCCUAUGGUGGAUAUGUAAAGGCCCCGUUUCGACAUAAUAUCCGUUUAAGUGUCAUGCUGAUAUCUAAUCGACUCAUUGAAAUAGUCCAGAAAUAGAAAGAAUUAAGUGCCCAAACUCUUCGAGAAAUUGUCCAUAGAGAAGAGAUUAAUUCAAGAAAGAACUUCUGCUUGUUCUUGUAUCUGUAACCUGGUGUCUAGAAUUCUUGUGACAUAUAUCACUUCUCUAUCCUUUUUUUGUUCUUUAGUAAGGCUACUAUGAACAACUUGUGUAGGACUGGAAAUGACAUACUGUAGUUUUAUGUUGGCAGUUAAAUUUAACGGCCAAGAGGUCACAAUUUAAAGCUAGUUGAAUUGUC
Long non-coding RNA from Lycium barbarum (goji berry), 594 nucleotides. RefSeq lists it as uncharacterized. The transcript is spliced from 3 exons. The record is from RefSeq and is a predicted model, not a curated record. Lineage: Eukaryota; Viridiplantae; Streptophyta; Magnoliopsida; Solanales; Solanaceae.